Molecule: ribosomal RNA, 254 nt
Filed under: uncultured bacterium
Lineage: Bacteria
Description: partial 16S ribosomal RNA
Rfam family: Bacterial small subunit ribosomal RNA
Source: RNAcentral
CACGUAGGGUGCGAGCGUUGUCCGGAAUUAUUGGGCGUAAAGAGCUCGUAGGCGGUGUGUCGCGUCGGCCGUGAAAACUUGCAGCUUAACUGUGGGCGUGCGGUCGAUACGGGCAUCACUGGAGUUCGGCAGGGGAGACUGGAAUUCCUGGUGUAGCGGUGAAAUGCGCAGAUAUCAGGAGGAACACCGGUGGCGAAGGCGGGUCUCUGGACAGUUCCUGACGCUGAGGCACGAAGGUCAGGGGAGCAAACGGG